AAAGUUGUAACAAGGUCUCCGUAGGUGAACCUGCAGAGAGAUCAUUAAUGAAAAUGGCCUUUGGGCCGUUAGCCCUCAAACCCGUGGAAGCAAGAUGUGCUCGGGUGCCCGGCCCCCUCAGGGGGCGGCCGCCGCAUUUAUGCUGUUUAGUGGUUGUGUCUGAAUUAGAAACUAAAAUCAAAACCUUUCAACAACGGAUCUCUUGGCUCUU
Molecule: unclassified non-coding RNA, 211 nt
Filed under: Ascomycota sp.
Lineage: Eukaryota; Fungi; Ascomycota
Description: partial contains small subunit ribosomal RNA, internal transcribed spacer 1, and 5.8S ribosomal RNA
Rfam family: Eukaryotic small subunit ribosomal RNA (bases 1-47)
Source: RNAcentral